Drosophila persimilis is the source of this 582-nucleotide long non-coding RNA. RefSeq lists it as uncharacterized. The record is from RefSeq and is a predicted model, not a curated record. Lineage: Eukaryota; Metazoa; Arthropoda; Insecta; Diptera; Drosophilidae. The transcript is spliced from 2 exons.
CUGGCUGGCUGGCUGGCUGGCGGCCCAAUCGACGAGGUAUGCGUGACAUGCAAAUCGCAAUUUGCACAGGAGCUGGCGUAGGAGUGCGGCGGUUUCGAAAUCAAGAAUGGAAUGCCUUAAUAUCGGAACUGGGACAAGGGAUAUGCAAUGGAAAUAUGUUUAAUGAGAGCAGAAACAGUACUUCGGAAGAGUGCUGCCCAUCAAAAUUCGAAGGAGUGCAGCCCAGCAAUGCUAGGAAGAGUGCUGCCCAGAAACGCUAGGAAGAGUGCUGCCAAGGAAAACUGCGAAGAGUGCUGCCCAGAAACGCCAGGAAGUGUGCUGCCAAGGAAUACUGCGAAGAGUGCUGCCCAUUAGCUCAUGGAAGAGGGCUGCCAACAAUGGAACACCACUUCGACUGCAUCCUACAACUGAAAGCUUCUAUCGAAAGGUACUCUCGAAUGAUAGCCCCUCCAUUCGCCACCUUCCACUCCACUUCGGUCGAAUGAAGGUGAAUAACGUCCAUUGUUUCUGGCAUACAUUUGAUGAGUGAAAACUAUUUGUACGUCUCUGAAUCAAGCGGAUUUUGAUAAAGUUUUGAAAGUA